UGGGAAGGCUAUUAGAAGCUGCCAAGAU
Molecule: non-coding RNA, 28 nt
Filed under: Rattus norvegicus (Norway rat)
Lineage: Eukaryota; Metazoa; Chordata; Mammalia; Rodentia; Muridae
Source: RNAcentral